RNAcentral lists this ribosomal RNA (1012 nucleotides) under uncultured bacterium. RNAcentral describes it as "bacterial SSU rRNA". It matches the Rfam family "Bacterial small subunit ribosomal RNA", at positions 335 to 1341 of the family's 1533-position model. The record is from RNAcentral.
ACUCCUACGGGAGGCAGCAGUGGGGAAUAUUGGACAAUGGGGGCAACCCUGAUCCAGCGAUGCCGCGUGAGUGAAGAAGGCCUUCGGGUCGUAAAGCUCUUUAGGUUGGGAAGAAGUUUGGUUGAGGAAAUGCAAUCAAGUUGACGGUACCGACAGAAUAAGCACCGGCAAACUCUGUGCCAGCAGCCGCGGUAAUACAGAGGGUGCGAGCGUUAAUCGGAGUUACUGGGCGUAAAGGGCGCGUAGGCGGUAUUAUGUGUGUGAUGUGAAAGCCCCGGGCUUAACCUGGGAAGUGCAUCGCAAACUGUAAAACUAGAGUAGAUGAGAGGGUGAUGGAAUUUCCGGUGUAGCGGUGAAAUGCGUAGAGAUCGGAAGGAACGUCAAUGGCGAAGGCAGUCACCUGGCAUCAUACUGACGCUGAGGCGCGAAAGCGUGGGGAGCGAACAGGAUUAGAUACCCUGGUAGUCCACGCUGUAAACGAUGACAACUAAAUGUUGGUUGGGGAACCAAUCGGUAUUGAAGCUAACGCGAUAAGUUGUCCGCCUGGGAAGUACGGCCGCAAGGUUGAAACUCAAAUGAAUUGACGGGGGCCCGCACAAGCGGUGGAGCAUGUGGUUUAAUUCGAUGCAACGCGAAGAACCUUACCUACCCUUGACAUCCUGCGAAUCCCGAUGAGAGUUGGGAGUGCCGAAAGGAGCGCAGAGACAGGUGCUGCAUGGCUGUCGUCAGCUCGUGUUGUGAGAUGUUGGGUUAAGUCCCGUAACGAGCGCAACCCUUGUCCUUAGUUACCAGCAAGUAAAGUUGGGGACUCUAAGGAGACUGCCGGUGAUGAACCGGAGGAAGGCGGGGACGACGUCAAGUCAUCAUGGCCUUUAUGGGUAGGGCUACACACGUGCUACAAUGGGGCGUACAGAGGGUAGCCAACCCGCGAGGGGGAGCCAAUCUCUUAAAGCGUCUCGUAGUCCGGAUUGGAGUCUGCAACUCGACUCCAUGAAGUUGGAAUCGCUAGUAA